RNAcentral lists this unclassified non-coding RNA (355 nucleotides) under Hevea brasiliensis (rubber tree). Lineage: Eukaryota; Viridiplantae; Streptophyta; Magnoliopsida; Malpighiales; Euphorbiaceae. The record is from RNAcentral.
UCCCGGUGCCUGUGUUUGGCUCCUUUAAAAUAAAGUAGCGUGUGACGCUUCUUGUUCUUUGAUAAGUGCAAUCUAGGAAGCAAAUGUGUGUAUGGAACAAUUAUAUCUUNNUUGAGUGUGUUGUAUCAUAUCUGAGGAACUACCAUUGAAUGAUUUUGAGUCAAGCCUAUACCAUCCACCGAAAUCCACCACUAGAAGAAUCGCGGGCGCUAUCUCGGCUCUCACAUGCCACAUUGCAACAGGGUCUGUGAGAACAAAAACAUGAUCUCUACCACCAGACCGCUUCCAGGCAUUGGAAUUCUUCACAAACUCAAUCACCUCCUUCUGCCUUUUGUAAUCCUCAUUGCCUUCCUUC